Molecule: transfer RNA, 75 nt
Filed under: uncultured bacterium
Lineage: Bacteria
Description: tRNA-Pro
Rfam family: tRNA
About the family: Transfer RNA (tRNA) molecules are approximately 80 nucleotides in length. Their secondary structure includes four short double-helical elements and three loops (D, anti-codon, and T loops).
Source: RNAcentral
CGGGACGUAGCGCAGUCCGGUAGCGCACCUGAAUGGGGUUCAGGGGGUCGCGGGUUCAAAUCCCGCCGUCCCGAC